GGCGCCUCAAGUGGUAGUCGAUUUUAUUGGGCCUAAAACGUCCGUAGCCUGUUUGGUACAUUCGUGGGUAAAUCAACCAGCUCAACUGGUUGAAUUCUGCGAGCACGGCCAGACUUGGGACCGGGAGAGGUGUGGGGUACGCUCAGGGUAGGGGUAAAAUCCUGUCAUCCUGAGCGGACCACCUGUUGCGAAGGCGCCACACUAGAACGGAUCCGACGGUCAGGGACGAAGCCUAGGGGCACGAACCGGAUUAGAUACCCGGGUAGUCCUAGGUGUAAACGCUGUGGACUUGGUGUUGGGGAUUCUCCGAGGAUCUUCAGUGCCGAAGCGAAGGUGAUAAGUCCACUGCCUGGGGAGUACGGUCGCAAGGCUGAAACUUAAAGGAAUUGGCGGGGGAGCACCGCAACCUGAGGAUUGUGCGGUUUAAUUGGACUCAACGCCGGGA
Molecule: ribosomal RNA, 445 nt
Filed under: uncultured Candidatus Poseidoniales archaeon
Lineage: Archaea; Methanobacteriati; Thermoplasmatota; Candidatus Poseidoniia; Candidatus Poseidoniales
Description: bacterial SSU rRNA
Rfam family: Archaeal small subunit ribosomal RNA
Source: RNAcentral